Long non-coding RNA from Lytechinus variegatus (green sea urchin), 501 nucleotides. RefSeq lists it as uncharacterized. The transcript has 3 exons. The record is from RefSeq and is a predicted model, not a curated record. Lineage: Eukaryota; Metazoa; Echinodermata; Echinoidea; Temnopleuroida; Toxopneustidae.
UACAGGGCCCUGUUGCAUAAAAAUUUAUGUCAUAAUGACAUAAAUUUCGAUCAUGACAUAAAAUCAUGCAUAGCUUAUGCCGUUGACAUAAAUUUCGUUGCAUAAAAAUAUUUAUGUAUUGUUUUAGCUUAUGACGCGAUUUAAUCAUCAUUACAUAAACUGAAUAGUCAUGAACGAGCCUGUUGACAUAAACUUGGCAUAAGUUGUCAUUUUUCAGCCGCAGGAAGCUCUUGCGAAAAAGGGUCUUCGGCUUUCUAUUUGGACGGGAUAGAGGCCUAUUUUGGUGACCCACACAAACGGUGAGAAGAGGUAAAGAGAGAAAGGGGCACAGCAACUGGAAGGAGAGGGAAGUCCAGACACUCUACCACUGUCUGCGAUUGAAUAAGAAAUUUCUCUUUGGAUCAGGGGGUCAAGCUUCUAGUAUGAAGAUUGUUCAAGACUCAAGACUGUUGAAGAGGUGACGUCAUGGACCUGGUAGCACCUGGCAAGGGAACUAAAUUA